This 621-nucleotide long non-coding RNA is filed under the name Aotus nancymaae (Ma's night monkey). RNAcentral's name for it is "lncRNA (ENSANAG00000038786.1)". Lineage: Eukaryota; Metazoa; Chordata; Mammalia; Primates; Aotidae. The record is from RNAcentral.
UGCACCUUAUUUGCUAUAGCUAAGGGCAGGAUAAAUAAAGUAGACUUCACUCCACCCCUCCUUCCCUUCCGCAGGCCUCCGAGCACCAGGGCUCCCACUGGCUACAUCAUCCGGUAAGCGACCACAGGACCCUGCCAGCUUUCCUGUGUCCCCUCGCACCACCCCCUGACUUCUUACCCUCCAGCUUCUCCAGGGAGCUCAGCAGCAUCUCCUGUGCUCUCUUUUAGGGGAGUGUUCACCAAGCCCAUAGACAGCUCUUCCCAGCCCCAGCAGCAGUUCCCCAAGGCCAAUGGGACUACGAAAAGUGCUGCCAGUCUGGUGAGAACAGCUAACACUGGUCCUCCACGCCCUUCCUCGUCUGGCUACAAGAUGACCACUGAGGAUUACAAGAAGCUAGCACCCUACAAUGUCAGGCGCAGCUCUACAUCAGGGGACACCGAGGAAGAGGAGGAGGUGCCUUUCUCGUCAGGUGAACAGAAACGGAGGUCACAGGCUGUGAGCAGUGUUGUGAGGAGGACAGCUCCCCGGGAGCACUCCUACGUGCUGUCAGCGGCCAAGAAGAGCACGGGGUGAGUUGCCGCCAGCUCCAAGCUCAAGGACAGCUGUCCUCUCCUCAGGGCU